Molecule: ribosomal RNA, 304 nt
Filed under: uncultured bacterium
Lineage: Bacteria
Description: bacterial SSU rRNA
Rfam family: Bacterial small subunit ribosomal RNA
Source: RNAcentral
AAUGAACGCUGGCGGCGUGCCUAACACAUGCAAGUCGAAUGUGGCAUCCAUCUUCGGAUGGGUGGUGCAUGGCAGACGGGUGAGUAACGCGUGGGCAAUCUACCUUUUAGUGGGGAAUAACGCUCCGAAAGGAGUGGUAAUACCGCAUGAGACCUUUGGCUGGGAUGCUGGAGGUGAAACCUGGGGACCGCAAGGCCUGGGGCUAAAAGAGGAGCCUGCGUCUGAUUAGCUAGUUGGUGGGGUAACGGCCUACCAAGGCAUCGAUCAGUAGCCGGCCUGAGAGGGUGAUCGGCCACACUGGAAC